CUAUAUUUAAGUGUUACCACAUGAAAUUUUGAGUUUCAAAAUUUUUAAUUUAUUUUAAAAAAAUAUA
RNAcentral lists this transfer RNA (67 nucleotides) under Pariaconus pele. Its description in RNAcentral is "tRNA-Gln". The record is from RNAcentral. Lineage: Eukaryota; Metazoa; Arthropoda; Insecta; Hemiptera; Triozidae.